RNAcentral lists this ribosomal RNA (292 nucleotides) under uncultured microorganism. RNAcentral's name for it is "partial 16S ribosomal RNA". It matches the Rfam family "Bacterial small subunit ribosomal RNA", at positions 505 to 796 of the family's 1533-position model. The record is from RNAcentral.
GUGCCAGCAGCCGCGGUAAUACGUAGGGUGCGAGCGUUGUCCGGAAUUACUGGGCGUAAAGAGCUCGUAGGCGGUUUGUCACGUCGUCUGUGAAAUCCUAGGGCUUAACCCUGGACGUGCAGGCGAUACGGGCUGACUUGAGUACUACAGGGGAGACUGGAAUUUCUGGUGUAGCGGUGGAAUGCACAGAUAUCAGGAAGAACACCGAUGGCGAAGGCAGGUCUCUGGGUAGUAACUGACGCUGAGGAGCGAAAGCAUGGGUAGCGAACAGGAUUAGAUACCCUGGUAGUCC